Anneissia japonica is the source of this 1774-nucleotide long non-coding RNA. RefSeq lists it as uncharacterized. NCBI's taxonomy places the organism in Eukaryota, Metazoa, Echinodermata, Crinoidea, Comatulida, Comatulidae. The transcript is spliced from 4 exons. The record is from RefSeq and is a predicted model, not a curated record.
UGGUUUAGGGGGUGGGGUUAGGCCUAGUUAGGGGUGGGGCCGAGAAUAUUCUGUAACAUUAGGGCCUAGGCCUUGUCAUAUCACUGACCUUAAUUAGGUUUCUGACAUUGCCCAAGAUUUUAUAAUUAAGCAUCACGGCUCCCCAUUUUUGUUUACUUAAUAAAUAUAAACUAGGCCUUGGUCACAGACGUGGGCCACGACCUGGACUAAUUGAUAGUUAGCAGGCGUAGCCUAUAGGCCUAUGGCAGGACGUUAUUUGACAGGUUAUUAAUUAUUUUGCAACCAAACACAAAUGACUGCUAAUAAAUGGCCAAAAAUGUAUUUUUUAAGUGACUUCAAUAAAAAUUUAAAUUGAAGUUGAAUUUUUUUAAAUUCUCAUGAACUCUUUGUAAAAGCCAACUUGUGUUUGUGCGUAGGGGUGCUGCAUUGUAUGUGUCAGAGACUUAUUCUCUGUGUUAUUCUUUUCAGAUUACCAGUGACGAAAUCUCCGCGCUGUCAGAUGCCCAACUUGAAAAUUUGAGUGUGACAACAAUUGGUGAUAGGCACCGACUAAGAAUAAAUUGUAGACAGACAGGAUCCAUUUUGUCUAGAUUUAUGCCAGCCAGACACAGUCCCUACACCAAAAAAAAGGGAAAGCACUCGAAGACGCCAUAGAAUCGGAAGAUAGUUUGCCUGUCAGAUCCAUUGACAAUGAUAACACCAACAUGUUGGCAAAAGCAACAACCUAGCAGAAGCUGGGCUUGGUGAAAAAAACAUAACAGUACAUAACAGUAUAAAUCCGGAUGAAUUCCAGGAAGUACUAUAUGCUAACUUUCCCCAGCUGAGGGAUGCUGGGGGUUUUGAGAUAAUAAUAUGCUUUGGGAGUGGAAGAAAGCUUACCCCAAUUAGUGGGCAUAUUCACCCCUGAAUAUAAAAGAAAAAUCAGGUCAAGGUAGAGUCUAUAUACGACCAAUUCAACAUGCACUAAAUGUGGAUUCAGAAAGGGUAAAGAGGCAUAAUAUGAUCAGUUAUCAAUCAAUCAGUCAAAUUCACCUAUAUAGAGCAAGUAGCCAUUAAAUAAUAUUCAAAGGCGCUCGAGUUAUGUGUGAAUUUGAAACACAUCCUUAAGAAAGUUCUAAUAGAUAAAAUAUAAAUGACAGUUUAUAAAUGAUUAUUAAUUACAUCAUUUUUAAUUGUUUACUCUUUUAGGAAACUGACUCUGGAUUGACAGAAGUGUCCUAAAUGCCAAAAUAACAUUUCAUUCUGUGUUUUAAAGAAACAUUUGGCAAGCUGUGCAAGUACUGUAGCAGGUUGAAGAAAGUGAUACAUUGUAUGAUCUAGACCUCACUCAUAGUCAUACUCCAAUGAAGUUCAUGAAGGCGGAUCAAGAACUUCAGACGUCUACUUGACCGUUUUUUUGAGCUGAACCGCACUACACUUACCAACCAAGCAGUAUGUGACAUUUGUGUGCAGUUGAACCGCACUACACUUACCAACCAAGCAGUAUGUGACAUUUGUGUGCAGUUGACAGGGAAGAAUAUAAUGUAUUGUAAAUAAAGUAAUAUAAUGUAAAUAAUUAAAUAAAUGAAAAAUAAUUUAAUAUAUUUGUAAUUAAUGUAUAAUGCAGUAAUUGUUAUUAAACAGUUUCUAUGGUUCUAAUCAAUAAAUGCAUCACUAUUAUGUUCAGUUACAUGUUUCUCCAAGUUUAUUGAGUGUGAAUUGUACUUCAAGUUUUUGCAGCAUCAUAAUUUUCUAAUUAAAUUUUCUGUGGAAUAGCAGUCAUACAAUUGUUUUU